Molecule: regulatory RNA element, 72 nt
Rfam family: HIV gag stem loop 3 (GSL3)
About the family: This family consists of several HIV gag stem loop 3 (GSL3) sequences. GSL3 is known to direct specific packaging of HIV-1 genomic RNA.
Source: Rfam
GCCCGAACGGUAAGAAAAAAUACCGAUUAAAACAUAUAAUAUGGGCAGGCAAAGAAAUGGAGCGCUUCGGCC